CGCGUAGGCGGCCGAUCAAGUCGGAGGUGAAAUCCCUCGGCUCAACUGAGGAAUUGCCUUCGAUACUGUUCGGCUUGAGUCCUGGAGAGGGUAGCGGAAUUCCCGGUGUAGCGGUGAAAUGCGUAGAGACCAGGAAGAACACCAGUGGCGAAGGCGGCUACCUGGACAGGUACUGACGCUGAAGCGCGAAGCUAGGGGAGCAAACA
RNAcentral lists this ribosomal RNA (206 nucleotides) under uncultured bacterium. RNAcentral's name for it is "partial 16S ribosomal RNA". It matches the Rfam family "Bacterial small subunit ribosomal RNA", at positions 568 to 774 of the family's 1533-position model. The record is from RNAcentral.